RNAcentral lists this ribosomal RNA (263 nucleotides) under Staphylococcus epidermidis NIHLM087. Its description in RNAcentral is "partial 16S ribosomal RNA". It matches the Rfam family "Bacterial small subunit ribosomal RNA", at positions 1278 to 1533 of the family's 1533-position model. Lineage: Bacteria; Bacillati; Bacillota; Bacilli; Caryophanales; Staphylococcaceae. The record is from RNAcentral.
AAAGUUGUUCUCAGUUCGGAUUGUAGUCUGCAACUCGACUAUAUGAAGCUGGAAUCGCUAGUAAUCGUAGAUCAGCAUGCUACGGUGAAUACGUUCCCGGGUCUUGUACACACCGCCCGUCACACCACGAGAGUUUGUAACACCCGAAGCCGGUGGAGUAACCAUUUGGAGCUAGCCGUCGAAGGUGGGACAAAUGAUUGGGGUGAAGUCGUAACAAGGUAGCCGUAUCGGAAGGUGCGGCUGGAUCACCUCCUUUCUAAGGA